UUUCAUCCCACAUCCCAAGAUUUAACUUAUUUCAACACCAAUUCAAAAGUCCAAGGUCCAACACCUCAACUAUAUCAGAUAUGACAAGAAUUGAGGCCUGAUUCAUCCAAAGGCAAAUUCUCUCCAGCUGUGUGACUAUCAAGUCAAAAUGUUAUCUACUUCCAAAAUACAGUGGUGGGGUGGGCAUAGGAUUGGCAUUCCCAUUCCAAAAG
This 212-nucleotide long non-coding RNA is filed under the name Marmota monax (woodchuck). The record is from RNAcentral. Lineage: Eukaryota; Metazoa; Chordata; Mammalia; Rodentia; Sciuridae.